Molecule: long non-coding RNA, 445 nt
Organism: Gadus morhua (Atlantic cod)
Lineage: Eukaryota; Metazoa; Chordata; Actinopteri; Gadiformes; Gadidae
Exons: 2
Source: RefSeq, a predicted model, not a curated record
ACAAGCACAUCAGAGAGUGCGUCGUCACCAACGCGAAGGUGCUGAGUGAGACCACCAUCCAGCUGCCCGAAGUCAAUGCAGCAACAGUGACACAAUGGUUCAGCAGGCGUUGCCGAUCACAGGAGAAUGAUACUCUGAUGCAGGGUGUCCCUUCUCCAGACGCACCCAUGGCAGGACCAGAGACGCUUCCUGUGGCUUUGCAGAAAGCCACAACUCUACAUUCUGGCAAUCUGGCUGAGCCUCACCUGUUCAUUCUGCCACCAAACACUGCUGGGCAGGCGAAGCUCAAGGGGAGACCGCAACCUCAGGCCAUCCACCAAGCACCACCACUUGGUGUGAUAGCACCAGCUCCACCCGUCUCUCUCCCCUUCACUGCACAGCUUCCUACCGUGCCUGGACCCUUGCAGGUGAUGGUCUUCAACCCCCCAACUCCGUUGUGUAAGGA